This 1068-nucleotide long non-coding RNA is filed under the name Cucumis sativus (cucumber). RNAcentral's name for it is "long non-coding RNA (CSAT_LNC001470)". Lineage: Eukaryota; Viridiplantae; Streptophyta; Magnoliopsida; Cucurbitales; Cucurbitaceae. The record is from RNAcentral.
UCUUUUAUUCUUCUUGAUAACAAAAUUGGGCAAGAGGUACGAUGUCAGUUGUGCUUUGAUGUCGAUAUAAAACCGACAUUAAAGAUGACAUCUAUGAUCGUGUUUUUAAAGCCUUUUAAAAUCAGUUGUGCUUCGAUGUCGAUUUAAACCAGACAUUAAAGACAUUGUCUUCUGUGUCCAUUUUUACAAAUUUACUUUUAUUAAUUGUUGCAUUAUAAUAUUUCUCUUUUACUUGUAUGUGUACAAAAUGAAAUCUUAAUAUUGUGUACUAAUAAUUUGUAGAAAUACAAGUUAAUAUUGCAUUUUAGAUAGAAUAAUGACACCAAAACACGUGGUAAGUGUGUCAAAAUGUGUAGCUUAUGUUGAAAAUUCAUAAAUAUUCGAAAAUACACUCUACACAAGUCUCUAUGCCUGUUUCACUCUGUUUUUAGUGUCUUAAUGCAAUAUUAUGAACAAAAAAAGAAGCUAGUGAAUUGUAGAGGAACUCCGUCGAAGGCUACGUGAGAAAGCCUUGUCUAGGAAAUACAAUUUCUAGGCGAGAUCCACAUCAGCACACGAGGAAGGUUCACUAGAGGACAAGAAUGGUAGUUGGAGUUGAUGUGACUUGACAAAGAAUGCAUUCAACACUGACAUGCAUGUUUAGAAGAAUAAAAGUUUUCUGUCGAAAGCUACUUAUAAAAGGACUCUAUUUCUUCCAAAGAAGGAGACCAACUUUGAGAGAAGUCGGAUGUCUUAAUGGACCAACCGAGUGCUUAAAUGGGCCAAACCAUAGAGAGGAGUGAAAAUGAGUAGCUUUUUCAUCAUCUGGAAAAGUUUUUCUUCUUCUUUUCUAGUCAGUCUGUAGGUGAAAGUUGAAGGUCUAAGCAUGAAAGAUUCCAUUUUCCAUUUUUCCUAACUUGUAAUGUUUAUUCAGUUUUUGUAUUUCUUUGCAAUGUAUUUGUUCAUAUUAUAUAGUGGCCUAAGUCUUUCUUCUUCUUUUCUAGUUAGUCUGUAGGUGAAAGCUGAAGGUCUGAGCAGGAAAGAUUCUAUUUUUCAUUUCCCUAACUUGUAAUGUUAAUUCCAUUCUCG